GAACGGGACCUUCGGCAACAAUGAAGCUGAUGAUGAAUGUGGCAGCAUUUAUCCAGAAAAAGCCAAGCUGAACUUCUACCUGCUGCUGAUGAACGGAGUGAGAGUGGUGUUCACCAAAGCUCUGGCCUUCAGCACCGUCCUCACCAUCAGAGGCCUGAUCUUCUGAAACUGACCACCAUAAAAAAAAAAAUAUAUAUAUAUAUAAAAUAGAGAUUAAGUUGAACUACUAGGGAGGAAAUAAUAUAAACUCUUAAAUAUUUAGUUUGCUUUCUUUUUAAAUACAGGGAAAUAAACAUUUUGAAAUACACAGAUUUUAUAAUGUUGUAUAUAUAUAUAAAAAAUAUGUAUGUCAUUAAUUCUCUAUUACUGUAAUUGAAAAAAUAAAAUUGCAAAACUGCCAUCUCUUUUGGUCACUGUAAAAUGUCAUAUAUGUCAAAUUUUCAGUAAUUUUUAAUCAUUUGUCCAUAUUUUUGCAAAAAACAUUUGUAAAUUAAAAAUUCUGAUGAACAGAAGUGACCCUUUUAUUUUGCUUUAUAAUUUAAUAAUUGAGGGGAGCAAUGUUGUCGGAAAGCAUUUCCCUACAGGCUUCUUCAUUUCUGUCUUCAAGAUCUGUCCUGAAAUUAUUCUCAGCUACUGAACAAUAAACAUGCUGUUUUAUAUUUUUUAACUGUCAAAAAGUCUGUCUUUAUUUUUUUAACUCAUGUAUUGUUGAAUAAGUAGAAACUUUGCUGUCAUC
This is a long non-coding RNA of Poeciliopsis prolifica (blackstripe livebearer), 736 nucleotides long. RefSeq lists it as uncharacterized. The transcript has 3 exons. The record is from RefSeq and is a predicted model, not a curated record. NCBI's taxonomy places the organism in Eukaryota, Metazoa, Chordata, Actinopteri, Cyprinodontiformes, Poeciliidae.